UUGCCACGUUGGUUGAACUGGAGAAAAACGUGGAGCAGUUGCUUCCUCAGCAAGAGAGUGGCCUUGAGGCCAACAGCUUCUGAGACAAGUUCCAAGGAAAGUCUAUGCGAAGGACCAAGGAGAAGUGCCAGGCGUGGCACAAGGAAGCAACGUAAGCCCAGCGCUGCGAACAGCUGGAUUGGUGAAGGCGUCGCUUUGAAGAAGAAGCAGUUGGAGAAGCUUUGGAAGAUGCGAAAGCUCACCGCGAACAAGUUUGUCCGUCAGCUCUGCCUAGCUGUAUUUACUCCUCAAGAGCUGCAAGGCAAAUGCCUGAAGCAAACACGUUCCAGUGGCAACAGAGAAGUCCUGGAUCAAAUACGUCUGAAUGCCAUAAUCGACUACACGUGUUCAAACUUUAUCACCGACAAAAGGCGCUUGAGAAUGGCCAUCUCCUACCUGCUGUUCCGUCUGAACGAGGGAUACGCUCCAUGAUUAUAUUUGUGAUCUGCGCACCGGCAAGGCGGCAUUGUAGCCGGACGAGGGGAGAAAUUCAGCCUUGUUGUUAGGACAUGAAGCGAUAUGUAGCGCA
Molecule: long non-coding RNA, 568 nt
Organism: Rhipicephalus sanguineus (brown dog tick)
Lineage: Eukaryota; Metazoa; Arthropoda; Arachnida; Ixodida; Ixodidae
Exons: 3
Source: RefSeq, a predicted model, not a curated record